ACGGGAGGCAGCAGUGGGGAAUAUUGCACAAUGGGGGAAACCCUGAUGCAGCAACGCCGCGUGAAGGAUGAAGGCCCUUGGGUCGUAAACUUCUGUUCUAAGGGAAGAUAAUGACUGUAUCUUAGGAGCAAGUCCCGUCUAACUACGUGCCAGCAGCCGCGGUACUACGUAGGGGGCCAGCGUUAUCCGGAAUUAUUGGGCGUAAAGAGUGCGUAGGUGGUUUCCUAAGCAUGGGGUUUAAGGCAAUGGCUUAACCAUUGUUCGCCCCAUGAACUGGGUUACUUGAGUGCUGGAGAGGAAAGCGGAAUUCCUAGUGUAGCGGUGAAAUGCGUAGAUAUUAGGAGGAAAACCGGUGGCGAAGGCGGCUUUCUGGACAGUUACUGACACUGAGGCACAAAAGUGUGGGGAGCAAACAGGAUUAGAUACCCUGGUA
RNAcentral lists this ribosomal RNA (433 nucleotides) under uncultured Anaerovorax sp. RNAcentral's name for it is "partial 16S ribosomal RNA". It matches the Rfam family "Bacterial small subunit ribosomal RNA", at positions 341 to 792 of the family's 1533-position model. The record is from RNAcentral. Lineage: Bacteria; Bacillati; Bacillota; Clostridia; Peptostreptococcales; Anaerovoracaceae.